GUAGGUGGCAAGCGUUGUCCGGAAUUAUUGGGCGUAAAGCGCGCGCAGGCGGAUCUUUAAGUCUGAUGUGAAAGCCCACGGCUCAACCGUGGAGGGUCAUUGGAAACUGGAGAACCUGAGUACAGAAGAGGAAAGCGGAAUUCCACGUGUAGCGGUGAAAUGCGUAGAGAUGUGGAGGAACACCAGUGGCGAAGGCGGCUUUCUGGUCUGUAACUGACGCUGAGGCGCGAAAGCGUGGGGGAGCAAACAGGAUUAGAUACCCUGGUAGUCCACGCCGUAAACGAUGAGUGCUAAGUGUUAGGGGGUUUCCGCCCCCUAGUGCUGCAGCUAACGCAUUAAGCACUCCGCCUGGGAGUACGGCCGCAAGGCUG
Molecule: ribosomal RNA, 371 nt
Filed under: uncultured organism
Description: partial 16S ribosomal RNA
Rfam family: Bacterial small subunit ribosomal RNA
Source: RNAcentral